Molecule: ribosomal RNA, 301 nt
Filed under: uncultured bacterium
Lineage: Bacteria
Description: partial 16S ribosomal RNA
Rfam family: Bacterial small subunit ribosomal RNA
Source: RNAcentral
CAGUCGCCGCGGUAAUACGAAGGGGGCUAGCGUUACUCGGAAUUACUGGGCGCAAAGGGCGCGUAGGCGGCACGAUUAGUCAGGCGUGAAAUUCCUGGGCUCAACCUGGGGACUGCGCUUGAUACGGUCGAGCUAGAGGAUGGAAGAGGGUUGUGGAAUUCCCAGUGUAGAGGUGAAAUUCGUAGAUAUUGGGAAGAACACCGGUGGCGAAGGCGGCAACCUGGUCCAUUACUGACGCUGAGGCGCGACAGCGUGGGGAGCAAACAGGAUUAGAUACCCGGGUAGUCCCUGUCUCUUAUAA